Molecule: transfer RNA, 64 nt
Filed under: Fukomys damarensis (Damara mole-rat)
Lineage: Eukaryota; Metazoa; Chordata; Mammalia; Rodentia; Bathyergidae
Rfam family: tRNA
About the family: Transfer RNA (tRNA) molecules are approximately 80 nucleotides in length.
Source: Rfam by way of RNAcentral
GGGGAUUUAGCUCAGUGGUUCCGGCAUCUGCCUCUCAAGCACAAGGUCUGGAGUUCAAUCCCCA